This 345-nucleotide unclassified non-coding RNA is filed under the name soil metagenome. Its description in RNAcentral is "partial contains 5.8S ribosomal RNA, internal transcribed spacer 2, and large subunit ribosomal RNA". The stretch from base 1 to 120 matches the Rfam family "5.8S ribosomal RNA", at positions 35 to 154 of the family's 154-position model. The record is from RNAcentral.
GAUGAAGAACGUAGCUAAAUGCGAUACGUAAUGUGAAUUGCAGAAUUCAGUGAAUCAUCGAGUCUUUGAACGCACAUUGCGCCCCCUGGUAUUCCGGGGGGCAUGCCUGCCCGAGCGUCAUUGCUGCCCUCAAGCACGGCUUGUGUGUUGGGCCUCCGUCCUCCUCCCGGGGGACGGGCCCGAAAGGCAGCGGCGGCACCGCGUCCGGUCCUCGAGCGUAUGGGGCUUCGUCACCCGCUCUUGUAGGCCCGGCCGGCGCUUGCCGACACAUCAAUCUUUUUUCCAGGUUGACCUCGGAUCAGGUAGGGAUACCCGCUGAACUUAAGCAUAUCAAUAAGCGGAGGA